CACUGUCCUCAGUGUUGGGGUUUGGCUCUCCUCUUGGUGGUAACUCUCGUCCGCUUCUUAGAGUGAUUGCGUGGGCAUACUCCUUUGAAUUAUGUAUUGGUUUCCCUGGGAUAUAACCUGGUGUGGUUGAUGUAGAAGCGGUUGUGCCUUCUAUAUAUUGUACCCUUUUGUUCAAUGAUGCCAUUCCGCUACUCAGUUCAUUGAACUGUCUGUCAAAUUUGUUGUUUAAGUCAGCCAGCUUCUUAGCGGAUUCCAUUACCCCUGCGGCUUGGCCUUGCAUGAUCUGUUGGAGCAUAUUCUUGAUGUCUGAUUCCUGGGGUGCAGAGGCCUGAUGUUGUUGUGGUGUGAAACCAGGUGGUGGCUGUUGCUGUUGAUACCCUCCUUGGAACUGUUGCUUAGGAACGAACCCUUGGCUUUGGUUGUAAGUAACAAACGGUUUGGGUUGGUUCUGCUGCAGCUGCUGUUGAGGGUAAACUUGGUCCUUAGGAUUGGCGACAUCUGUGCUUCUGUAUGACAGAUUUGGGUUGGGUCUGUAAUUGUUAUACCCUUUGUUGUAGCUGCCUUGGUUCUGAACAUAACUGAUUUCAGCGCCCUGAUCAUUCUCCCCCUCUUGGAUUUGGAAUACUUCGUCUUCAGAGGCGAAGUGAACAUGCUUCUGCUGCACUUGGAGGAGUUUGUCGAUUUUAUCAUGGAGAGCUUUAAUCUCUCGGCGGUGCUUGUCAUCAGAUUCAGUACUGGUGCGGAUGCUUCUGUCAUAAUCCUCGUUGUAAUUGCCAUCCGACUGAGCCAAGUUUUCAACUAGCUCCCAUCCGUCUUCGACAUCCUUGUUCAGGAAAUUCCCGUUGGAGGCGGUGUCAAGGAGCAUACGUAUCUUAGGCAGGACGCCUCUGUAAAGUGUGCUGAGAAGAGAUGCUUCCUUAAAUCCGUGAUGAGGGCAUUUGGUUUGAUAACCCUUAAAGCGCUCCCAAGCUUCACAGAAGCUUUCAUUUUGCUUCUGAGUGAAUCCGGAUAUCUCGUUCCGGAGUCUUGCAGUCCUGGAGUUGGAGAAGAAUUUUGCCAAGAAGGCCUUUUUGCAGUCAUCCCAGGUCGUGAUUGAUCCCUGGGGUAGCGUUUUUUCCCACAGAUGGGCUUUAUCUCCAAGUGAAAAUGGGAACAAGCGAAGCUUGAAACCAUCUUCACUAACUCCAUUGAUUUUAGUAAGGCCACAGAGCCUUUCAAACUCGUCAAGAUGAUCUAGCGGAUCCUCCAUUGGCAGGCCAUGAAACUUGUUCCCCUGAACCAUAGCAAUGAGACCGCUUUUGAUCUCAAAGUUGUUGUUCUGUACUGGAGGUGGAACGAUUCCAUGACGCUGGUUGUGGUUGUGAGGGAAGUCACCAGCACCAAUGUUGGUAGGUUGCUCUUGCUCAUCUACAACGUCAGCCAUUGUGUCUGUUUCUGUCUGUUCUCUUAGUUGGCGAGCAAUACGGUCGAUGUUAUCGUUGAAUAGGAGGUUCUGAUUUCCUUGUGACCGUGUAUGCAUGCAACAGAUAGCAGCCGUGCUAUAACAGACGAAUCAGAGAUGCGUCUAGAAAGCAGGUUGCAAGGUACCUGAAACACAAAGACAGAAAAGGCACAAUGUUAGUAACUUGUGUAACAAAAACGAACUUGAUCUUAAUGUUUCUAAUGAUCUCAAAUAUAGCAAACAAACACCAAACUGGCAACGGCGCCAAAUUGAUAGUAAGAUUUUUGUCAAUUAAUCCCUAAAACACUAUCUUGUCGUUGUAGUAUUUUAGGAUGUCAAUCCAAUCCGGUGUGAUGCAAACAGAUGAGAUAUGAUCAGAAAGCUCUAAGUCAAGCCAAGCAGAUAGUUGGUUGAUUCUAACAGUCCUAGUAUGCAAUAACAGAAAUGAAGUGAAAUUAAAAGCAGGAAUGGCAAUAGCAGGCAAGUGAAUGACAAAGCAGAAAUGAUAACAGGCAAUCAAAUGGAUAAACGAUUCCUAAGGAUGGGGUAAUCGAAUAGUGUGGUCUACUUAAUCUAUUCAGGCGGUUGACAAAACUUCACAGAAGCUAUCCCUAGACAACAAGUUCAACAACAGAUUAAUUCACUCCCGUGAUAGAAAUCCUCAAGCAAAGCUAGACACUGACCUAAAUCCCUUUAGCGAUCUCUAACUAAGCAGGCAUUAUCGAAUCAACAUGUUAAAGUCAAUACCCUCUCUACAGCCAAUCCCUUGGGGUAGAGUCAGAUAUCUCUGGAAUUAAUAGGAUCCAACGCCCAUUAAACGCCUUCUGAGCGCUGGACGUCUGGACUCAUACUCCACAUUAGCCAGUGAAAUAAGCAAUAAGCGCAACUAAUCCAGAAGGGAUUCUAGUAUUCUAAACUCAACCACCUAAAACGACCAAGUAAACCACAACUAUUCUGUCCCAUCCUCAGAAAUACAGUUCACUACUCAGACAUAAUCAAAGACAAUAAUAAAGCAACAAUUGAAAACAUGAUAACAGAAAAUGACGAAAGACUUAAACGAAAACUGAAUAUCAAAUACUUGAAAACGAAACUACAAAGUCGCAGGAGAAACACUACGGCUAUCAAAGUUGCAAAAAUGUAAAAGCGAAAUAAAAAGGGAUAAUAGCGGAUGCUAGCCGACGCCCUAGGAAAACCCUAAGAGGUAGUUUAUAUAAGCGAAAAAAUGAAACAAAUAAGGAAACUAAAUAUAUAGCGAAUCUUCACGUCAUGAUCCUGCGACCGAAUGUGUCAUUGGAAUCUGACGGGCUGAAAUGAGCUUCCUAGUGAUCGAGUAUGUCAUUGAUCAAACUGGGCUUCAGGGGCUCCGUCUUGCGAUCGAGUGAAAUGCAGUGAAGUCGAGAUUGAAUGGUCCAGCGACCUUGUGAUCGAGUGAAGCGAUCGAGUGGAUGUCAUGAGGGUGUGAUCGAGUGGUUUCUUCGCCUUCUCUUCUCUUCUUUGUUCUCAGCUUGUCUGGUUGAGUGCAGAAUGAGCAGAUAGGCUUCCUGGUGAUAGAGUGGUGAUCGAGUGGUUCUGAUGGGGUGAUUCCUCCGGCUUCGCGAUUGAGUGAAACUGAGCUGUUUGCUUCUCCGGGGUUGCGAUAGAGUGAUUUGCCCUGGCAGGGCUCCGAGGCUGCGAUAGAGUACUUUUGCUGAAGGCGUCAUUGGGCAUUCUGACUUCAUGUUCUGUUUUUCCUCUGUUUGAACUCCAAAAGCAUCCAAAGUACCUGAAAACAACCAAAUAUGCCAUGCACAUGCAAUCCUAAUGCAAAAUCGUCCUAAGUAUGUAAAACACACUAAAACGACUCCUAAUGAGAUGAAAUGUGGAUGAAACAAUGACAAAGUGGUGAAGAAUGAAUGCCUAAAUCAUGCAAAUUACAAGUCCUCAGAACAAGAUGCACUUUCUCCUCAGAACGCUCAAUGUGGUGCAUGUUCUAAGUAUGUCAAUGCCCACCGUAUAGGAGAGUAGUGAAACGAGUCCGUGGAGGAGACAAGGAAGCAACUUAAUUGGGAAAACGAUGACUACAUAUGUCGUGGCCACAUUCUCAAUGGUAUGUCUGAUUCUCUCUUUGAUGU
This 3552-nucleotide small RNA is filed under the name Arabidopsis thaliana (thale cress). Its description in RNAcentral is "ATSL203630". The stretch from base 921 to 1027 matches the Rfam family "Plant small nucleolar RNA R71". The record is from RNAcentral. Lineage: Eukaryota; Viridiplantae; Streptophyta; Magnoliopsida; Brassicales; Brassicaceae.